AACGAACGCUGGCGGCAUGCCUAACACAUGCAAGUCGAACGAGACCUUCGGGUCUAGUUGCGCACGGGUGCGUAACGCGUGGGAACCUGCCCGUAGGUUCGGAAUAACUCCCCGAAAGGGGUGCUAAUACCGGAUAAUGUCUUCGGACCAAAGAUUUAUCGCCUUUGGAUGGGCCCGCGUUGGAUUAGCUAGUUGGUAGGGUAAAAGCCUACCAAGGCGACGAUCCAUAGCUGGUCUGAGAGGAUGAUCAGCCACACUGGGACUGAGACACGGCCCAGACUCCUACGGGAGGCAGCAGUGGGGAAUAUUGGACAAUGGGCGAAAGCCUGAUCCAGCAAUGCCGCGUGAGUGAUGAAGGCCUUAGGGUUGUAAAGCUCUUUUACCCGGGAUGAUACUGACAGUACCGGGAGAAUAAGCUCCGGCUAACUCCGUG
Molecule: ribosomal RNA, 433 nt
Filed under: uncultured bacterium
Lineage: Bacteria
Description: partial 16S ribosomal RNA
Rfam family: Bacterial small subunit ribosomal RNA
Source: RNAcentral